This is a long non-coding RNA of Melanotaenia boesemani (Boeseman's rainbowfish), 1266 nucleotides long. RefSeq lists it as uncharacterized. The transcript has 3 exons. Lineage: Eukaryota; Metazoa; Chordata; Actinopteri; Atheriniformes; Melanotaeniidae. The record is from RefSeq and is a predicted model, not a curated record.
AGAAGGUCAUAAACUCAUCAUGUUCAGUUCUGUAGCAUGGAAAAUGAAGUCAGAAGGAACUGAUCUGCAGUGAGAAGAAGGCAGAUUUAAGAGUCACCAUCUUCUUGAGUUGAAACAGAAACAGAACCAUUAGGAACUGCCUCUAUGAUGCCGACCGAGGAACAUUCAGGUAAUCUGAUGUCUACUGCUGUACAGAUAAGUAUACGGUUGUUUACAGUCAUUGUGUCAUCAAGAUAUUUCUGUUAAUCCAAGAUAACUUUAAAAUAAAAUUAUUUUUGAUUACCUCGUUUUGUAUUAGUUUUCUCCUUCUAUCAGAGAACAUUACUUUGUGUUGGAACAAUUGAAAAUGUGUAAAUUAAUUAAUAAAUCAAUUAUGAAAAUUGUUUUGAGAAAUUUAGUUUUAUACCUACAGCUCUUGUUCCAUCUCUUCUUUGUUAUUUGGUAUUGAUGAACAGGUACGCUCUCGCCUUCAGGCCUCCUUUCUUUUUCUUCCUGUUCCACAUCCUGUGCAUUUUAGAAAGAACAGAACACGGGUUAUAUUUUCUACUCUGAAAAGCUUUAGAAAGAUAAGUCCAAUAAGUUAUUUUUAAAUCUGGGUUAACUUUUAGAAAGUGAAAUAUUCCCCUACUAGUGCAACCUUUUAAGAAUACAAAAAUAAAAGUACUACUGCCGCUGUGGAUUAACUCAGAUAUACUUAUGGAUGUGCAAGGUUCGUUAUAUCAGUGCCAAACAGACGGUGACAUCUAAUAGUUUUGUGUCAGAAUUCCUCAAAUUUUAGUACCAGUUUCAUGUCAUACCAUGCUGACAAGACAAGAGCAUUUCAUUCAUUAAGGGCUCCUAAAUUAAAUAAUACAGUUGACCCCCUUUUAAACACAGCGAUCUGUGGCUGCAUCUUACAUGUUUUCUUCUGCCCACACUUCACAUCUACACAAGAUUUAUAAAAAUUCAGCCUGCUGGUUUUUAGUAUAAUCGAGUAAAAGUCAAAUAGAUCAAUAAACAAUGCUUAAAGCAAAAGGAAAUACAAAUAGAGAGUUUAAACAGAGAAGAAAUUAACUGAACUGUUUCUUGUAUAAAGCACAGAAUCACUGGAGGGCUGACAUGCGUGUUUUAACACUUUCAAACAUAAAUUACAGCUUAUGUAAAAAAAAAACAACAAAAAACAAAAAACAAAAAAAAAAAACAAAAAGGUCAGUAGAUUUGUCAGUAUUUUACCAUAUUUUAGGACCACUAUAGACAGUGUCAGGGAUCUCCUGUUUUUUGAACAAA